This 347-nucleotide ribosomal RNA is filed under the name uncultured Azospira sp. RNAcentral describes it as "bacterial SSU rRNA". It matches the Rfam family "Bacterial small subunit ribosomal RNA", at positions 1034 to 1382 of the family's 1533-position model. Lineage: Bacteria; Pseudomonadati; Pseudomonadota; Betaproteobacteria; Rhodocyclales; Rhodocyclaceae. The record is from RNAcentral.
ACAGGUGCUGCAUGGCUGUCGUCAGGCUCGUGUCGUGAGAUGUUGGGUUAAGUCCCGCAACGAGCGCAACCCUUGUCAUUAGUUGCCAUCAUUCAGUUGGGCACUCUAAUGAGACUGCCGGUGACAAACCGGAGGAAGGUGGGGAUGACGUCAAGUCCUCAUGGCCCUUAUGGUAGGGCUUCACACGUCAUACAAUGGUCGGUACAGAGGGUUGCCAAGCCGCGAGGUGGAGCCAAUCCCAGAAAGCCGAUCGUAGUCCGGAUUGGAGUCUGCGACUCGACUGCGUGAAGUCGGAAUCGCUAGUAAUCGCGGAUCAGCAUGUCGCGGUGAAUACGUUCCCGGGUCUU